Molecule: ribosomal RNA, 429 nt
Filed under: Gemmatimonadota bacterium
Lineage: Bacteria; Pseudomonadati; Gemmatimonadota
Description: Gemmatimonadetes bacterium partial 16S ribosomal RNA
Rfam family: Bacterial small subunit ribosomal RNA
Source: RNAcentral
UAGGGAAUCUUCGGCAAUGGACGAAAGUCUGACCGAGCAACGCCGCGUGAGUGAAGAAGGUUUUCGGAUCGUAAAACUCUGUUGUUAGAGAAGAACAAGGACGUUAGUAACUGAACGUCCCCUGACGGUAUCUAACCAGAAAGCCACGGCUAACUACGUGCCAGCAGCCGCGGUAAUACGUAGGUGGCAAGCGUUGUCCGGAUUUAUUGGGCGUAAAGCGAGCGCAGGCGGUUUCUUAAGUCUGAUGUGAAAGCCCCCGGCUCAACCGGGGAGGGUCAUUGGCAACUGGGAGACUUGAGUGCAGAAGAGGAGAGUGGAAUUCCAUGUGUAGCGGUGAAAUGCGUAGAUAUAUGGAGGAACACCAGUGGCGAAGGCGUCUCUCUGGUCUGUAACUGACGCUGAGGCUCGAAAGCGUGGGGAGCAAACAGG